AUUGAACGCUGGCGGCAUGCCUUACACAUGCAAGUCGAACGGCAGCACGGGUGCUUGCACCUGGUGGCGAGUGGCGAACGGGUGAGUAAUACAUCGGAACGUACCUUAUCGUGGGGGAUAACGCAGCGAAAGCUGCGCUAAUACCGCAUACGCCCUGAGGGGGAAAGCGGGGGAUCGCAAGACCUCGCGCGAUUAGAGCGGCCGAUGCCUGAUUAGCUUGUUGGUGGGGUAAAAGCCCACCAAGGCGACGAUCAGUAGCUGGUCUGAGAGGACGAUAAGCCACACUGGGACUGAGACACGGCCCAGACUCCUACGGGAGGCAGCAGUGGGGAAUUUUGGACAAUGGGGGCAACCCUGAUCCAGCAAUGCCGCGUGAGUGAAGAAGGCCUUCGGGUUGUAAAGCUCUUUUGUCAGGGAAGAAACACCGGCUCUAACACAGUCCGGGAAUGACGGUACCUGAAGAAUAAGCACCGGCUAACUACGUGCCAGCCGCCGCCGUAA
This 501-nucleotide ribosomal RNA is filed under the name uncultured bacterium. Its description in RNAcentral is "partial 16S ribosomal RNA". It matches the Rfam family "Bacterial small subunit ribosomal RNA", at positions 29 to 523 of the family's 1533-position model. The record is from RNAcentral.